AAACUAGCCGGGCGAGGUGGCGGGCGCCUGUAGUCACAGCUACUCGGGAGGCUGAGGCAGGAGAAUGGCACGAACCCGGGAGGCGGACCUUGCAGUGAGCUGAGAUCGGGCCACCGCACUCCAGCCUGGGUGGUGACAGAGCAAGACUCCGUCUCAAAAAAAAAAAAAAAAAAAAAAAAAAAAAAAAAAAAAAAAAAAAAAAAAAAAAAAAAAAAAAAAAUUAGCCGGGCUUGGCAGCAGGCGGUAGUCCCAGCUACUCAGAAGGCUCAGGCAGGAGAAUGGUGUGCACCGGAAAGGCAGAGCUUGCAGUGAGCCGAGAUCGCGCCACUGCACUCCAGCCUGGGGGAGAGAGUGAGACCCUGUCUCGAAAAAUAAAAAAAUAACUUGUGCACGCA
Molecule: long non-coding RNA, 395 nt
Filed under: Piliocolobus tephrosceles (Ugandan red Colobus)
Lineage: Eukaryota; Metazoa; Chordata; Mammalia; Primates; Cercopithecidae
Description: lncRNA (ENSPTEG00000029242.1)
Source: RNAcentral